CCUACAGAGAACGAUAACCUCGGGAAACUGAGGCUAAUAGUUCAUACGGGAGUCAUGCUGGAACUGCCGACUCCCCGAAACGCUCAGGCGCUGUAGGAUGUGGCUGCGGCCGAUUAGGUAGACGGUGGGGUAACGGCCCACCGUGCCGAUAAUCGGUACGGGUUGUGAGAGCAAGAGCCCGGAGACGGAAUCUGAGACAAGAUUCCGGGCCCUACGGGGCGCAGCAGGCGCGAAACCUUUACACUGCACGCAAGUGCGAUAAGGGGACCCCAAGUGCGAGGGCAUAUAGUCCUCGCUUUUCUCGACUGUAAGGCGGUCGAGGAAUAAGAGCUGGGCAAGACCGGUGCCAGCCGCCGCGGUAAUACCGGCAGCUCAAGUGAUGACCGAUAUUAUUGGGCCUAAAGCGUCCGUAGCCGGCCAUGAAGGUUCAUCGGGAAAUCCGCCAGCUUAACUGGCGGGCGUCCGGUGAAAACCACAUGGCUUGGGACCGGAAGGCUCGAGGGGUACGUCCGGGGUAGGAGUGAAAUCCCGUAAUCCUGGACGGACCACCGAUGGCGAAAGCACCUCGAGAAGACGGAUCCGACGGUGAGGGACGAAAGCUAGGGUCUCGAACCGGAUUAGAUACCCGGGUAGUCCUAGCUGUAAACGAUGCUCGCUAGGUGUGGCACAGGCUACGAGCCUGUGCUGUGCCGUAGGGAAGCCGAGAAGCGAGCCGCCUGGGAAGUACUCC
RNAcentral lists this ribosomal RNA (730 nucleotides) under Haloferax volcanii. RNAcentral's name for it is "bacterial SSU rRNA". It matches the Rfam family "Archaeal small subunit ribosomal RNA", at positions 113 to 841 of the family's 1478-position model. The record is from RNAcentral. Lineage: Archaea; Methanobacteriati; Methanobacteriota; Halobacteria; Halobacteriales; Haloferacaceae.